Bos taurus (domestic cattle) is the source of this 503-nucleotide long non-coding RNA. The record is from Ensembl. Lineage: Eukaryota; Metazoa; Chordata; Mammalia; Artiodactyla; Bovidae.
CCGGAGGAGGGUGGGAAGGAUUCCUGGGGAGCUUCAUCCUUACUUUCCAGAGUAAGGGAAGAAGGACCUGAAUAUGUGUACUUAGUCACUCAAGUCAUGUCGGACUCUGCGACCCCAUGGACUGUGGCCCACCAGGCUCCUCUUUCCAUGGGAAUUCUCCAGGGCAUGCAGGAUCCUAGUUUCCCUGACCAGAGAUAGAACCUAUGCCCCCUGCAGAGUCUUAACCACUGAACUGCUGGAAAGACUUUGCCGGUUUAUAGUUGCAACCAAGGGUUUGUCCAGUGGUCAUGUAUGGAUGUGAGAGUUGGACUGUGAAGAAAGCUGAGCCCCAAGGAAUUGAUGCUUUUGAACUGUGGUGUUGGAGAAGACUCUUGAGAGUCCCUUGGACUGCAAGGAGAUCCAACCAGUCCAUUCUAAAGGAGAUCAGCCCUGGGAUUUCUUUGGAAGGAAUGAUGCUAAAGCUGAAACUCCAGUACUUUGACCACCUCAUGAGAAGAGUUGAC